GGGGGACUUUGCUUAAACAAAAAAAACG
Molecule: non-coding RNA, 28 nt
Filed under: Cricetulus griseus (Chinese hamster)
Lineage: Eukaryota; Metazoa; Chordata; Mammalia; Rodentia; Cricetidae
Source: RNAcentral